RNAcentral lists this ribosomal RNA (525 nucleotides) under Arca noae. RNAcentral's name for it is "partial 16S ribosomal RNA". It matches the Rfam family "Bacterial large subunit ribosomal RNA", at positions 1830 to 2600 of the family's 2925-position model. Lineage: Eukaryota; Metazoa; Mollusca; Bivalvia; Arcoida; Arcidae. The record is from RNAcentral.
UUGGAUUCAGGGAGUGGAGGUCAUUGCUGCCCAGUGGCGAGAAGCUAAACGGCAGCCUUAGCGUGAGGGUUUAAAGGUAGCAUAUAAUGUUUCGCUUAAUUAGUGAGUGGUAUGAAAGAUGUUACGAGGGUGGAGCUGUCUCGGGAUAAUUUAUUGGAAGUUUAUUUUUAAGUGCAAAAGCUUAGGUGAAACCAUUAGACGAUAAGACCCCGUGAAACUUCAGGGUUUGGUACAAAGGUAAAAAGAGAGCGAUAAAUCGUAGAGUUGAGUCGCCUGGCUGACCCUUCGGCUGGGGCGGCCCGGGGGUGGUAAGGAACCCCCUGGAAGAGAUUUUUGACUUUGCAUGCGCUGAACCACGGCAGAGGGACGUGGUAAUCGGAGCAAGUUACUCCGGGGGUAACAGCGUAAUUCUCCUGGAGAGUGCAUAUUGAGAGGGGGGUUUGCGACCUCGAUGUUGAAUGUGGCGGUAACCUGGGGCUUGCAGCAGGUCUUGAGGUUGGACUGUUCGUCCAUUAAAAGCCUACC